CAGUAGCCGCGGGAAUACGUAGGUGGCAAGCGUUGUCCGGAAUUAUUGGGCGUAAAGGGCUCGCAGGCGGUUUCUUAAGUCUGAUGUGAAAGCCCCCGGUUCAACCGGGGAGGGUCAUUGGAAACUGGGAAACUUGAGUGCAGAAGAGGUGAGUGGAAUUCCACGUGUAGCGGUGAAAUGCGUAGAGAUGUGGAGGAACACCAGUGGCGAAGGCGACUCUCUGGUCUGUAACUGACGCUGAGGAGCGAAAGCGUGGGGAGCGAACAGGAUUAGAUACCCCCGUAGUCCCUGUCUCUUAUAC
Molecule: ribosomal RNA, 301 nt
Filed under: uncultured bacterium
Lineage: Bacteria
Description: partial 16S ribosomal RNA
Rfam family: Bacterial small subunit ribosomal RNA
Source: RNAcentral